Non-coding RNA from Schistosoma haematobium, 78 nucleotides. Lineage: Eukaryota; Metazoa; Platyhelminthes; Trematoda; Strigeidida; Schistosomatidae. The record is from Rfam.
AGCAUUUCGAAUUCAUCCUGAGAUCUCGUCAGACGCCAGAACAUCAGGACUGAUGAGACUCAGAAGAUAAAUGAAGCC